AACAACUUUUAGCAACGGAUCUCUUGGCUCUCGCAUCGAUGAAGAACGCAGCGAAAUGCGAUAAGUAAUGUGAAUUGCAGAAUUCAGUGAAUCAUCGAAUCUUUGAACGCACCUUGCGCUCCUUGGUAUUCCGAGGAGCAUGCCUGUUUGAGUGUCAUU
RNAcentral lists this ribosomal RNA (159 nucleotides) under Bolbitius psittacinus. Its description in RNAcentral is "5.8S ribosomal RNA". It matches the Rfam family "5.8S ribosomal RNA". Rfam says of the family: 5.8S ribosomal RNA (5.8S rRNA) is a component of the large subunit of the eukaryotic ribosome. Lineage: Eukaryota; Fungi; Basidiomycota; Agaricomycetes; Agaricales; Bolbitiaceae. The record is from RNAcentral.